GCCUUUGCUGAUUACCACUAAUAUAAAUCCCUUUUUAUUCACUUUCUAAAGAGGAGAGAGACCAUUCUCCCCUCAGGGCCACAAAAUGACUGUGAAUGAUCUAAAUUUCAACUUCUGUUCUAUAGCAUGAUCUUUCCUUUUAUGUGGUGACCCUUUGGGAACAAAGACAUAAGCCUGAAAGUUACUGUUUUUAUUGGUCCUUUUCUUAAGUAAUAAUGAAAUAAUAUUGACCCCUCAACUUCUCUUCCAAAUAUAAUCCAUCUUAGAAGCUCUUUUCAAGUUGCUCUGGGAAUAAGUAAAAAAAUGUUCUAAAUGACAAUAUCAAAUGACCGUUAUCUCCAAAGAGCAGAGUGUCUGUGAUAUAACAAAGAACUUAUCAAUAAGGCAAAAUCUAAGAGGAAUACACUGCACGUCCAUGCAAAAUUCUGGAAUUUUGACUUUCUCCUUUGGUAGAGGCCCCUUUUGGUUUUGGUCUUGAUUUGUCUAUAUCCAAUUAUGAUCUUCUUUAAAAUAAGACAAAUAAAUAUCUUUAAAGCACCUGAAGCACCCAGGAAAAUUGUUCCAGAAGAAAAAAUUCGUGUAUCAGUCCCUAAGAAGCCUGAAGUUCCACCAGCUAAAGUUCCUGAGAUGCCUAAGAAAAUUAUGGAAGAAGAAAAACCUACUGUUCUUCCCGAAGACACAGAAAUAUACAGUGAGUGUAGAAAAAUUUAAAGUUCUCUUUGGUUUCAUCUGUGUUCUCAAAUUCACUGUGUUCAUCCAUAUAACUUUAAAAAGUUAACAUACUAAUAUCUUGUAAAUAUUUGUCUCAAAUAAUUUGAAUGACCCCAAGCUUUAGACAAGAUACAUCUCCUUACACUUUAAAAAAAUAAAUAUAAUAUUACCCAAUUUUAGAAAAAGCAUUUAUCUUAUUGAAUUUUUCUAACCUCUGUUUAUAAACAUCUUUUGCUUUGAAGCAAUUUGUUUUCUUAGACCAUUAAGUGAACCAUAAUAUUUUAGUUUAAUUUCAAAGAACCAGGAUCUCUACCAUUAUUAUUUUUUUACUCCUCACAACAAUCAUUAACAUUUGGCAAUGCUGCCCGAGUGGUUAUAAAUUUAUAAGACCAUUAAAAACCCAAAAAGUAUUAUCAAGACUUUUUUUUGCCUUAAUACAAAACUACAAUUAAACAAUUUUAAUAGUAAAAUAUUAUAAAAAAGAAUUCUAUUUAAGACUCUGAAUAGUAAAAAUGCUAUAUUCCAUUUUUAAUCUAAAAAAAUUAUACUAUAUUGUGAUAAAAGUAUACAAUCACCCCAUCCUUUGAAUACCUUUUCUAUAUUUGAAUUUAGUUCUUACUGUCAGACAGUCUUCCUUUUUAAAUUCUGAAGAAAUCCUUUAUUAUUUUUAUUGGCCUUAUUUUCCAAAUAUUUAAUCAUUUUUUCUUUUCUGCUUCUAAUCCCUAAAUGAUUUUCACACUCAUUUUAAGCUGUGAAUCCAUAAAUGAGAUGUGAUUUUAAAAUAUACUUUUCCUCCCAGAAGUGGAAAAUAUUUACAUGAAUUUGCAAUAGGUCAAAUGUAGAAAGCAAAUUCCCCAUGGUAGCUCAACAUCUUCCCUGAUUUUUAUGCACAAAUCCAUUAAGAAGUAGAGCAAUUGGACGAUUUUAUCAAAAACUUCCUGCAGAAAAAAAUUGAAGAAUUUUAUGGUCCUUGCCUGAUGAAUUCCUCAAUUUCAUUCUCAUUCUCAUAAAUAAAUGCCAUAAAGAGUCCUAUAUCAUAAAACUGGGAGUGAAACUCAUGUUCAGUCAUUGCAUUCAUGUCUGUGUACUAUCAUUAAUUUGGGUGAUGAGUGUAUAUUAUAUGUUGUUUUAUUGAUACUAUUCUUCAUCUACCUUGAAAUACCCCUAAUUAUCUAAAUACUAAUAUCUUUAAAGUUUAUGAAGCAUCUGAAGAAUUGGUUGUAGAAGAAAAAGUGCUUGUGACUCAUCCUGAAAAGGCAAAAUACAGAAUAGCAAAAGGUAUAUAACAUCAAUGAUCCAGUCUUAAAAAAUUGAUUUGGGGGUUCAGUUUAGAAGCUCAAUAUUUUUCUUCAUCAUUUAUAAAUAUAACUGUACUCAUGUCUUUAAAGCAGCUGAGCCACCUGAGCAAGUUGUUCCAGAAGAAAAAAUAUAUGUGACUAUUCCUAAAACAAGAGAAGCACCAGCAACCAAAGGUAUUUUUCAACUGUGUCCAACUCAGAUGAAUAUCUUUAAGAUUCAAAAACUGCAUGUUAUGUAAUUGACUUGUUUUACAGCUUCUAAGUAUAAACCUACUAAUAUCUUUAAAGCACCUGAUAUAACCAGAGAAGUUCUUCCAGAGGUGGAGUUACCUGAGGCUGUUCUUAAAAUUCCAGAACAUCCUCCAACUGAAGGUAUAAUUCUCUAGUUCUGAAAAUCUAAAGAAGAAAACCUUUCUUCUAAAGUUGAAAAAAUCUGUUUAGAAUUUUAUGUACAUUCUCACAACCUAUAAUGCUAAAAUACUAAUAUCUUUAAAGCAUCUGAAAAAGAUGCCCAAGACAAGGAAUUACUAUCUAAAGUCAAGACUCACUCAAAUAAUAUACAAAGAUACACUAUUUAAAAAAAUUAAAUUUCCAACUUAAAAUUACAAUAUCUGUCAGUAUACCUAAUUCUUUGUAUGUCAUGUCUUUGUCUGUCAUGUCUUUGUCUUUGCCUGUUUUAACUAAACACUACUAAUAUCUUUAAAGAAUUUGAAAUCUUCAAGGAAGUGGUUCCAGAGAGACGAACUCUUGUUACCAAAAGAAGAAAAACAUUACCACCAACAGGUACAAGUCCCAAUAAAUAGGCUUUCUUAUCUCGUGUUUGUAGUAAUGGUUAACACAUGUAAAAAUACUAAUAUCCUCAAAGCACCAGUGGUUACCAAGGAAAUCAUUUCAGAGAAAUGGGUCCCCAGAGAAGAAGCUUGACCAAGUAUACGCAUGUCCCAGUGAGCCACUCAAGAGGCAAUAGAGAGAAGAUCUUUAACUUAUACAGAUGAAAGAUAGUUGAGUUAUACAGUUUAUGAGGAUAACAGAGAAAACAAUGUAUACAUAAUAUGUCCAAAUAUGACCCAGAUGUAUUCUUUAAUAGGAAACAGCUAUCUUUCCUUUAAAAAUAAUAAAAAUCAGACUAGCUAGAAAUAAUGGACACAAGACUAGAUUGAAUUGGUUCAUUCAGUGCCGUCAAAUAACAAAGGUGUUAGAUUGUGCAUGAGAUGGCAAUAAUUCAGUCCUCCAUGGGACUGGAAAUUCAGGAAAUAUAGCCUUUCAGAAUUGUUUUUCCUAUUAAGAUAAACUUAGUGCUAAAGUAAGCAUAUGAAUAUGAAAUUACUGAUUUCCAAUAAGAAAUAUCAUAGAAAUAUGUUUAGAAAAUCAUGACUUAAAGAAAAUGAAAUAUUCGAUGUGAAGUUGCUGUUCUUGUAAUAUCAUUUCUUACCCAUGAGACACAUCUGAGAGCCUUCUAAAACUAAGGCAGGGAGGGGAGGGGGGAUAGUAGAGGAUAGGAAAGGCAGCAGAACACAACAGACACUAGUAUGGCAAUAUGUAAAUCAAUGGAUGUGUAACUGAUGUGAUUCUGCAAUCUGUAUAUGGGGUAAAAAUGGGAGUUCAUAACCCACUUGAAUCAAAGUGUGAAAUAUGAUAUAUCAAGAACUAUGUAAUGUUUUGAACAACCAACAAUAAAAAAUUUAAAAAAAUAAAUAAAAUAAAGGUAUAAAAAAUUUUAAAAAAAUAAAACUAAGGCAGAAUUCCAGUUAAUUCUGGAACUCGCUUUCUAAAUAUAUUUCUAUGAUGUUAAAUCCUCUUGGAAUCGGCUAUUUCACAUUCGUAUGUGUGCUUUUAGCAGUAAGUAAAUAUUUUAAUAGGAAAGUGAUUUUGACAGGCUGGUAAAUUCUGGAAUUCCAGUCUCAUGAGAGAUGAAUAAUUACCUUCUGGUGCAUAAUCAAGCACCUCUGUCAUUUAGUGGCACCAACUCCUCCUUUAAAUGGUCAUGUGUUAAGCCCAUUCACUGUGGUUUCAGUCCUGAGCACUCUGUUCUGAAUGUUUGCUCCACUCCUGCUCUGUUUUAUUUUUCAAGCAUCAUACAUUUUCCCAUUUUAAACAUUUUUCAGAUACAUUAAAAGCUGGGAACUUUUCAAAGCUUCCAGAAUAACAAUGUCUUAAUAAUGCCCAUGAUAUUCUGGAAUUGAAAGAACACCCAAGUACUCUGAUCUUUCUUUCUCAGUCUGGCAUCUUUUGGUUGUUCUCUCCUGAACUCAAAAAAACACUAUUUUUUAAUUUUUUUAAGUUAUAGAUGGACAAAUAUCUUUAUUUUAUUUAUUUAUUUUUAUGUGGUCUGAUGUUCGAACCCAGCACCUCACAUUGCAAGGCAAGUGCUCUACCAUUGAGCCACAAACCCAGCCCCAGAAAACACUACUUUAAUGAGACUAAGGUGAGGGUACAAAAAAAGAAGCCAACACAGAUAAGAACAUCUGUUUUAUCUUCACAAACUAAAUUGUUAAAGAUACCAUUAGUGGCUGUCUUUUUUUUUUUUUACUUUCAAUAAUCUAAUUUUCUAUACACCUACAAUUGUAAGAAAAAAAAUAUUAAUAUUUAUAGCAUCUGAAUUGACCAAAAAUUAAAAAAACAAAAACAACCCCUGAUAAUCAGGCGUUUAUACUGGUACUAAGAAUCAGAUUCUGGGGAUUCCCAAUCUGUAGCAUUUCUGUAUAUAACUGGAACUCUUCACUGCUCCUCAUAACUCAAAAGUAUACUACAUUAAUAUCUAGAGAGUGCUAGAAUCACCUCAAGACAUUGUCGCUUGUAAAAGCAAAACCCAUGGCAGUUCCCUCUGAAAUCGAAACACCUCCCCAAAAGGCAUCAUGGUUAUUCUCAUUCCUUCAUUUAUUUAAUAAGUGUCUACUAUGGACAGGGCCCUAGGGAGCUAAAGAAUAAUUAACAAAAACGAGUAAGAUUUGAUGACUCUUAAGAUUUUGCAUCUCAUCAGAUUCUUGAAGGAAGCACCCUAGUAGCCAUAAAAAUCACUUAGGUUCAGUUCAUGGAAUUAAUAUCUCCACUGAUCCUUUUAACCUCUGAGAAUAAUACUAAUAUCUUCAAUGCACCAGAAGCCAUAAAAGAAGCUGCUCCUGAGAUGAAAGUCAUUGAGGAUGUUCCUGAAGAGCCAGAAAUGCCACCUAUGGAAGGUACAUGCCACCUCUGAACAGAUAUGGAAGAAGAAAUUAUCCAUCUUCUGCUCCUAGAACUGUUUUUUUCUAACACUCAUUGUGACUCUAAACAUAAACAUACUAAUAUCUUUAAGGCAACUAAAGCUUCAUAAUUCCCUCCAGAAAGAAAGAAUUUGUGGCUGUUCCUACCACAAACUAAAACCUUUCUACUAAAAGGAUUCAUUCAAAAAAUACAGUCCUCCCUCUGUCUCCAUGGAAGAUUGGUUCCAGGACU
Marmota monax (woodchuck) is the source of this 5441-nucleotide long non-coding RNA. RefSeq lists it as uncharacterized. Lineage: Eukaryota; Metazoa; Chordata; Mammalia; Rodentia; Sciuridae. The record is from RefSeq and is a predicted model, not a curated record. The transcript has 2 exons.